CCUACGGGGGGCAGCAGUGGGGAAUAGUGGACAAUGGGGGGAACCCUGAUCCAGCCAUGCCGCGUGUGUGAAGAAGGCCCUCGGGUUGUAAAGCACUUUCAGUGAGGAAGAACGCCUGGUGGUUAAUACCCAUCAGGAAAGACAUCACUCACAGAAGAAGCACCGGCUAACUCCGUGCCAGCAGCCGCGGUAAUACGGAGGGUGCGAGCGUUAAUCGGAAUUACUGGGCGUAAAGCGCGCGUAGGUGGCUUGAUAAGCCGGUUGUGAAAGCCCCGGGCUCAACCUGGGAACGGCAUCCGGAACUGUCAAGCUAGAGUGCAGGAGAGGAAGGUAGAAUUCCCGGUGUAGCGGUGAAAUGCGUAGAGAUCGGGAGGAAUACCAGUGGCGAAGGCGGCCUUCUGGACUGACACUGACACUGAGGUGCGAAAGCGUGGGUAGCAAACAGGAUUAGAUACCCUGGUAGUA
RNAcentral lists this ribosomal RNA (465 nucleotides) under Vreelandella stevensii. RNAcentral describes it as "partial 16S ribosomal RNA". It matches the Rfam family "Bacterial small subunit ribosomal RNA", at positions 338 to 795 of the family's 1533-position model. Lineage: Bacteria; Pseudomonadati; Pseudomonadota; Gammaproteobacteria; Oceanospirillales; Halomonadaceae. The record is from RNAcentral.